Molecule: ribosomal RNA, 465 nt
Filed under: uncultured bacterium
Lineage: Bacteria
Description: partial 16S ribosomal RNA
Rfam family: Bacterial small subunit ribosomal RNA
Source: RNAcentral
CCUACGGGCGGCAGCAGUAGGGAAUCUUCCGCAAUGGGCGAAAGCCUGACGGAGCAACGCCGCGUGAGUGAUGAAGGUCUUCGGAUCGUAAAACUCUGUUAUUAGGGAAGAACAUACGUGUAAGUAACUGUGCACGUCUUGACGGUACCUAAUCAGACAGCCACGGCUAACUACGUGCCAGCAGCCGCGGUAAUACGUAGGUGGCAAGCGUUAUCCGGAUUUAUUGGACGUAAAGGGCGCGUAGGCGGUUUUUUAAGUCUGAUGUGAAAGCCCUCGGCUCAACCGGGGAGGUGCAUUGGAAACUGGAAUGCUUGAGUGCAGAAGAGGAAAGUGGAAUUCCAUGUGUAGCGGUGAAAUGCGCAGAGAUAUGGAGGAACACCAGUGGCGAAGGCGGCUUUCUGGUCUGUAACUGACGCUGAUGUGCGAAAGCGUGGGGAUCAAACAGGAUUAGAUACCCGAGUAGUC